CUUUUAUCUAUAAACCAGAGAGGACACAUCAUGCAGGAAAGACCCACAAAGGUCGUAACGUCAAGGGAAAAAUUCUCCGGGGUUCGUUUUGACAUAGAUAUCAUCUGAGAUGCAAUCUGAGUGAACAUGCUCUCUCAGCUCAUGGUGUCAAAUACGUGGCUGAAUCCAGUGACCUGAUGAUGGGUGUGCGUGAGCCAUGUCUCAGGAGCGGGAUUGUAGUACAGAUUGGAGGAGCAGAAGGAAUUUGAAAGCAGAUAACGCUGGCAGGGACCCUAAGUAUUCAGGAAGACGGCUGUGCCUGCAACAGCAGAAACAAGUGGACAUGACCAGCCACGUUCUCCAAACAUUUGAAUGAACUCCGGCAGGUGUCCACACACAAGGAGGAGGACUGGCAGUCAGAGGAAAGUCACUUGCUGUCCUUCCCCGCAUCUGGAGGCUGGAAACAACUUGAGGACUGCCAUGAAGAUGCCAACUGCUGUGUGUGAGAGAAUGGGUGUCAAGGCCAUGAUCUCCCAGAAGGUGAGGAGUAGUGUAAGAGGUGGUGUUUCAAAUUCUGUAAGGUGACUUUGAAGCUCAGACUAGUGAGCUAGGCAGGAGGCUGGAG
RNAcentral lists this long non-coding RNA (604 nucleotides) under Mus spicilegus (steppe mouse). RNAcentral describes it as "lncRNA (ENSMSIG00000010384.1)". Lineage: Eukaryota; Metazoa; Chordata; Mammalia; Rodentia; Muridae. The record is from RNAcentral.